Molecule: ribosomal RNA, 470 nt
Filed under: uncultured bacterium
Lineage: Bacteria
Description: bacterial SSU rRNA
Rfam family: Bacterial small subunit ribosomal RNA
Source: RNAcentral
GGUAUGCAGGAUGACGGGAGCUUGCUCCUUGAUUCACCGGCGGACGGGUGAGUAAUGCCUAGGAAUCUGCCUGGUAGUGGGGGACAACGUUUCGAAAGGAACGCUAAUACCGCAUACGUCCUACGGGAGAAAGCAGGGGACCUUCGGGCCUUGCGCUAUCAGAUGAGCCUAGGUCGGAUUAGCUAGUUGGUGGGGUAAUGGCUCACCAAGGCGACGAUCCGUAACUGGUCUGAGAGGAUGAUCAGUCACACUGGAACUGAGACACGGUCCAGACUCCUACGGGAGGCAGCAGUGGGGAAUAUUGGACAAUGGGCGAAAGCCUGAUCCAGCCAUGCCGCGUGUGUGAAGAAGGUCUUCGGAUUGUAAAGCACUUUAAGUUGGGAGGAAGGGCAGUAAGUUAAUACCUUGCUGUUUUGACGUUACCGACAGAAUAAGCACCGGCUAACUCUGUGCCAGCAGCCGCGGUAAUU